AAUCGGGGCGGUUAUAACGCGUUGGGCUACCCUUUUCUACGGAAUAGCCUCGGGAAACGAGAUAAUACCGUAUAAGCCCUUCGGGGGAAAGAUUUAUCGGGAAAGGAUUGGCCCGCGUUAGAUUAGAUAGUUGGUGGGGUAAUGGCCUACCAAGUCUACGAUCUAUAGCUGGUUUUAGAGGAUGAUCAGCAACACUGGGACUGAGACACGGCCCAGACUCCUACGGGAGGCAGCAGUGGGGAAUCUUAGACAAUGGGCGCAAGCCUGAUCUAGCCAUGCCGCGUGUGUGAUGAAGGUCUUAGGAUCGUAAAGCACUUUCGCCAGGGAUGAUAAUGACAGUACCUGGUAAAGAAACCCCGGCUAACUCCGUGCCAGCAGCCGCGGUAAUACGGAGGGGGUUAGCGUUGUUCGGAAUUACUGGGCGUAAAGCGUACGUAGGCGGAUUGGAAAGUUGGGGGUGAAAUCCCAGGGCUCAACCCUGGAACUGCCUCCAAAACUAUCAGUCUAGAGUUCGAGAGAGGUGAGUGGAAUCCAAGUGUAGAGGUGAAAUUCGUAGAUAUUUGGAGGAACAUCAGUGGCGAAGGCGGCUCACUGGCUCGAUACUGACGCUGAGGUACGAAAGUGUGGGGAGCAAACAGGAGUUAGAUACCCUGGUUGUCCACACCGUAAACGAUGAAUGCCAGUCGUCGGGCAGUAUACUGUUUCGGUGACACACCCUAACAUAUGCAUUCCGCCUGGGGAGUACGGUCGCAAGAUAAAACUCAUAGAGAAUUGAG
RNAcentral lists this ribosomal RNA (776 nucleotides) under uncultured bacterium. RNAcentral's name for it is "bacterial SSU rRNA". It matches the Rfam family "Bacterial small subunit ribosomal RNA", at positions 91 to 914 of the family's 1533-position model. The record is from RNAcentral.